UACGAGGGGGGCAAAUGUUGUUCGGAAUCACUGGGCGUAAAGGGAGCGUAGGCGGGUUCUUAAGUAAGGUGUUUAAUCCCGGGGCCCAACCCCGGACCGGCACUUUAAACUGGGAAUCUUGAAUAGUGGAGAGGUCGGUGGAAUUGGGGGUGUAGCGGUGGAAUGCGAGAGAUCCCCAAGAACACCAGUUGCGAAGGCGGCCGACUGGACACAUAUUGACGCUGAGGCUCGAAAGCAUGGGGAGCAAACAGG
This 252-nucleotide ribosomal RNA is filed under the name uncultured bacterium. RNAcentral's name for it is "partial 16S ribosomal RNA". It matches the Rfam family "Bacterial small subunit ribosomal RNA", at positions 524 to 776 of the family's 1533-position model. The record is from RNAcentral.